UACGGAAGGCAGCAGUGGGGAAUAUUGCACAAUGGGCGCAAGCCUGAUGCAGCCAUGCCGCGUGUAUGAAGAAGGCCCUUCGGGUUGUAAAGUACUUUCAGUCGUGAGGAAGGUGUUAAGGUUAAUAACCUUAGCAAUUGACGUUAGCGACAGAAGAAGCACCGGCUAACUCCGUGCCAGCAGCCGCGGUAAUACGGAGGGUGCGAGCGUUAAUCGGAAUUACUGGGCGUAAAGGGCACGCAGGCGGUUAAUUAAGUUGGAUGUGAAAUCCCCCGGGCUUAACCUGGGAAUGGCAUUCAAGACUGGUUAGCUAGAGUCUUGUAGAGGGGGAUAGAAUUCCAUGUGUAGCGGUGAAAUGCGUAGAGAUGUGGAGGAAUACCGGUGGCGAAGGCGGCCCCGUGGACAAAGACUGACGCUCAUGUGCGAAAGCGGUGGGGAGCAAACAGGGAUUAGAUA
RNAcentral lists this ribosomal RNA (456 nucleotides) under uncultured bacterium. RNAcentral's name for it is "bacterial SSU rRNA". It matches the Rfam family "Bacterial small subunit ribosomal RNA", at positions 340 to 784 of the family's 1533-position model. The record is from RNAcentral.